GUCCACGACGAUGAGGACUGGUUCGCGUUUUGCCUCCAGUUCCAACUCAUGGUCACGCUGGAUAUGCCCCAUGACACCGUUUGCGUCAAUCUGAAGGUUAGGGAGGACAGGGACGAGGUGCGGGCACAAAUGCAGGUCCUCUCUCUCUCGGUUGGAUCAGAAACUUCUCAAUUUUACACGCAGAAUCGACCUGAUGGUUUCUUCUAAAUGUUUAUUAAAACCUAAGAAGCUUUCUUUGUUUUGUCAUAAUCAGGUGUUGAAUGAUUCUCAAUAUCGAUCAACAAUCUAGUAGGUGGCACAUAUGGGUCCCUCACCAUGCUGUUGACACGAUGGCCCUACCGAAUCAAGGACGAGCCAUGAGAUAACAUAGCCGGCGGCUCUCGUCACGCACACCGGUUGGUCCUGCUCCGGCGAGCCGCCGCCACCGUGCCUGUUUAGAUCUCACUAUUUAGUUUAUAGGUGACCCGUGCCUCCUUUUAUCUCCCUUGCAUUAUUGAUGUGGGUAACUUCCACUCUAGUCCUAACCUUCUCUUUUGGUUUUCCGGUAGGUUCUUUGUCGGGCAGUGUAGAACUGAAAUAGUUGAAGAGAACAUCAUGAGGCGAUGCUAGAAGCUUGCUUGUGUGCUAGCCGUUGUUGUGAUUUUAAGAAAUUUACAAGUUCACUCAAUGGAAAAAAGAGGGACUAUGGUGAGAGGUGACUAAAUCUACAAUGUUGAAUCCCUUUACCAUUAGUACUCCCUCCAUUUUUAUAUACAAGGCCACAAACCCACAUUACACGUACCAACGCAAAAGUUAAUGCCUUCCAAGUCAACGUUGCAAGACAACUUGUCUCCUUGUUUACCGUGUAAAUUAAUGUGUAUUUCUCUGUCUCAUGCAUAUCAAGCCAAUGAUCUCACUCCUGCAUGCAUGCAAGGGAUAAUUAAUGUCCUGCUUUGCUAGUACUACGAGGCAAACACCAUUAAUGUUGCAUCAAUUAGUGUUAGUGGCCUUGUAUAUAUGCAAAUUGUAAUUUUUAUAGUGGCCUUGCAUAUAAAAAUGGAGGGAGUAGUUUAAAUAGCAACCAAAAUUUCUUUUCAUGAGACGGUGAUUAAUUAGUCUAAAGUUGUUCUACAUAUUAGUAAAAUGUUGUAUUUGCACUAGAAAGUUCAAUUUCUUUGCUAAACCAUGGACCGGUCAAUGUUGAAUUAGCUGAGAAUGUUUUUGAAGUUCGUUGAAUCACUUGUGUGAAUAUUUAUACCAACUAUGAGUGUUUCAUAAUCGUGGGAAUUUCUUUACCAUCUUUCAAGUACAUCGAAAUCUCCUAGGAUGGCAAACAAGAAGUCGACCAAAAUAUCCGGCAACGGUGGUGAGCAUAGUGGUGACAUGUGAUUUCCAUGCCUAUUUGUCGGCUCUACAAAAUGCACAUUUGAUUUCUCCAUAUUCAUUUGUUGAUUUCUACUUUCAUGAGAAGUUGAGAACUACUUGAGGCAGAGUAUUUACAUCCUCAAUUUCAUCCUUCACUCCUUGUAGGUGUACUUACCCUUCUCUUGCUGCUGUUGCAUCUAGAUAUGCAAUCUAUGCUAGCUUUGUGGAAGUGGAGAUGGAAAGGACGUUGUCAUUAGUCAAGUCAUGUGAGCGGGGAAGGGGCCAAAAAAGCGAAGCUAAAAACAGCUAACAGGCCCAUCAGAAUAUUGUAAGGAUGAAACUUUUCAUCCUUGCACAUCAUGUGAUAAUUGAAUACUAUAAUCACAUGACCUAUUUACUCGUUAUGAUCUCAUAUACAUAUUUUUGGGACAUUUUUUGUUCCUUUUCUUUCUUCACGGGCCAUCUUUAGUGCUUUUCCAGUUAAUGGUAUCUUUGGGCCGAAAUAUAAUAGUUGCUAAUGCCUUUGGAUCGUUUACUUUGUUGGUUUUAUGAUUCUUGGAGGAUUCAUCACAACUAAAGGUUGAUUCGUCAGAAAUAUUUUCAGCUACUUGAGGUUACAUUUUGAACCGAUACAUCUAACAUAUUGCAACCUUUUUCUGACUAUUUAAAAGAAAGCUCAGUCUGUUGGUUUUGGUGUUAUGGGAUCUCUCCUAUUAUAUAUGCACAAAAUGCUAUAUCAGUAUAUGAAUUCCAUGGGCAUUCUUGGUCCAAGGUGAACUUGAUUUUAAUAAUUCUCCGAAGAAGUUGUGCACUUUUCAUUUUGUCUCAACCAAUGUCGCUUUCAUCUUAAUCAUAGACAUGCGAGCCUAAUUUUUCUUGCAUAUUUUACUUGGUGGCUAACUCAAACUUAUUUGUUGUCAUUUUUGUAUUCAUCAUCACGAACAAGACCAGAUCACUGGAGUAGUCUCUGUCAAAACAUAUAACAAAUAAUAAGCCCUAUCACUACCUCUAGAGAACAAACAAGAGUUAAAUGAUGUAGAUUAUGAAUGAUGAACUCGUAAUGGGCGUGGAGGGCAGGUCUGCAAGGUGUUUUGGUAACCCUUUCUUGGUGUGAACAAUAUGGUCUGGUAUUGUUGUUAGUUGUCAAUCAAUCCAGGAUUUGACCUUGUUUGCAAAUUCAAGUGUUUUAUUAGAAGGAUGACGCAAAUCCAACACAAGGAACAUGUUAAUAUGCAUACUAUUGUUCUUCCUGAGUCAUUUGUGCAACAUAUAUUUUUCACCAUAGUAAUUGAAAUUUGACUCGUGUGUAGGUUGAUUUUGGUGUGUUCGAAGUUCUACAACUAUCAAAGGCUGCUCGUUCUGAAAGUUAUUCAGAAACAUGCACGCUGUGACCAACUUUUUUUUCAGAUAUCUCUAUUUUUCAAUGGUUUGUGCUGAUUCACAAAGGUGCAAUGAAAUUAUCUAAAAUCAUUUUAUUUUGGCUUCCCAUUGACUACUUUGAAGAGUGGGGCAUCCUGAUGUUUUCCUUUGACGUGCACAGUAUCCCUAUGUUUUUACACUACCAUUUUUUCAUUCUUUUUUAGUGUAUAUGAUGCACUUCUUUUGUCUAAGUUAACUCUUCAUUCUUCUCCUAUGCUCUUCCAGAUUGAUUACUCUUUAGACACUGAAUUAAAUGUUUCACAUUUUAUUGGAGAAUCAUAUAUCUAUGCUAGAUUAUAAUAUUUAGUUCAGAAUUGUGUAUCCACCUUUUUACUGAAUUUUACAAAUGUUUUUUGCUUGUUUAGUUUACCCAGCAUUAGGGCUCUCUCACAUUUUUGUCCUGAUUUUUAUAAAUAUCUGCUGGGGAUUCAUAUUUUUUCGUUAUUUCUUCCAUUUGUUUUGAAAGAGAAUAUCAGUUUUGAAUAGUCAUUAUCUUUGACCAUUAUAUUGUGAGUCGAUACAAUAAUUUCUCAUUUCAGGUCCACUCCCUCCUCGAAGAAUAUCUGAUUCAUUAUUCGUUUCGUGAAUUCUUUAUUCCAGCUCCUGCGGAGGAGGAUUAUGCACCCUUAUUAUCAUUGCGAAGAAGGCAAUAGAAGGCUAUGGAUUUUCUAGGGUGGGCACAUUUGCUGUCUGGUCUUCUGAUGCAACACUGUGAUUCACCUUUUGCUCUCUGGUUCUUGAAUUUUGGCUUUUGGCUGCUCGUGUAGUAUCGUCCUAAAUAAGUAGAUGAGUUCGAUCCAUCGUGUCCAUUUGUCCUUUGGGUAAAUAAAUGAAGAAAACUACAAAAAUAUAUAUUUUGUGCUGUGUGAUUUAUCUUGUAAGACUGUUACCUUUCUAUUAAGACACAUAUUACCUUGCUUUGCUUGCUCUGCUUUCUGAGUGAAUGCUCUGCUGCUGGUGCAGUUUAAUUAUGUCUAAUUUUUUAGAACUGGCAUUUAUUUAGACUGUAUAUACAUGUUUACAAAUUUAUCAGCUAGAUUAGUGUGUCGAGUCACGCAAAGGAGACGUGCCCUGGGUGCGUCCCUGUCACUAGUAUCUUAUUUUUUAUUUUUAUUUUUAUUUAUAAAGUUUACACUUGGUGGUCGUCCGUUCACUCCUAUGUACCACCUCUUUCUCUCAGCUCUGUCAAGCGAACCACGCGUAAGAACCUAC
This 3975-nucleotide long non-coding RNA is filed under the name Hordeum vulgare. RNAcentral describes it as "long non-coding RNA (HVUL_LNC004197)". Lineage: Eukaryota; Viridiplantae; Streptophyta; Magnoliopsida; Poales; Poaceae. The record is from RNAcentral.